Molecule: non-coding RNA, 23 nt
Filed under: Drosophila melanogaster (fruit fly)
Lineage: Eukaryota; Metazoa; Arthropoda; Insecta; Diptera; Drosophilidae
Source: RNAcentral
GGGGUCUUUGUAUGUGUCGUUGU